Molecule: ribosomal RNA, 253 nt
Filed under: uncultured bacterium
Lineage: Bacteria
Description: partial 16S ribosomal RNA
Rfam family: Bacterial small subunit ribosomal RNA
Source: RNAcentral
UACGUAGGGGGCAAGCGUUGUCCGGAUUUAUUGGGCGUAAAGAGCGUGUAGGCGGCCAGGUAGGUCAGCUGUGAAAACUCGAGGCUCAACCUCGAGAUGUCGAUGGAAACCGUCUGGCUAGAGUCCGGAAGAGGAGUGUGGAAUUCCUGGUGUAGCGGUGAAAUGCGCAGAUAUCAGGAAGAACACCUAUGGCGAAGGCAGCACUCUGGGACGGUACUGACGCUGAGACGCGAAAGCGUGGGGAGCGAACAGG